GUUGGUUUUACCUGAAGACGGUGUUGCUAACCGCAAGGAGGCAGCCGGCCACGRUAAGGUCAGCGACUGGGGUGAAGUCGUAACAAGGUAGCCGUAGGUGAACCUGCAGAAGGAUCA
This 117-nucleotide ribosomal RNA is filed under the name uncultured eukaryote. RNAcentral describes it as "partial small subunit ribosomal RNA". The record is from RNAcentral.